Molecule: ribosomal RNA, 256 nt
Filed under: uncultured bacterium
Lineage: Bacteria
Description: partial 16S ribosomal RNA
Rfam family: Bacterial small subunit ribosomal RNA
Source: RNAcentral
UGGCGGACGGGUGAGUAAUGUCUGGGAAACUGCCUGAUGGAGGGGGAUAACUACUGGAAACGGUAGCUAAUACCGUAUAACGUCGCAAGACCAAAGAGGGGAACCUUCGGGCCUCUUGCCAUCGGAUGUGCCCAGAUGGGAUUAGCUAGUAGGUGGGGUAACGGCUCACCUAGGCGACGAUCCCUAGCUGGUCUGAGAGGAUGACCAGCCACACUGGAACUGAGACACGGUCCAGACUCCUACGGGAGGCAGCAUG